Molecule: ribosomal RNA, 253 nt
Filed under: uncultured bacterium
Lineage: Bacteria
Description: partial 16S ribosomal RNA
Rfam family: Bacterial small subunit ribosomal RNA
Source: RNAcentral
GACAGAGGCCUCGAGCGUUAGGCGGAAUCACUGGGCUUAAAGCGUGUGUAGGCGGAUCGUUAAGUACCUUGUGAAAUCCCACGGCUCAACCGUGGAACGGCUGGGUAUACUGGCGGUCUUGGGGCAUUCAGGGGCGACUGGAACAAGCGGUGGAGCGGUGAAAUGCGUAGAUAUCGCUUGGAACGCCGAAGGUGAAAACAGGUCGCUGGGGAUGUGCCGACGCUGAGACACGAAAGCCAGGGGAGCAAACGGG